Molecule: long non-coding RNA, 315 nt
Filed under: Gossypium barbadense (sea-island cotton)
Lineage: Eukaryota; Viridiplantae; Streptophyta; Magnoliopsida; Malvales; Malvaceae
Description: long non-coding RNA (GBAR_LNC017368)
Source: RNAcentral
ACUCCUAACAUUUGCACAAGCCAAACUUUGAUCAAAUCCACACCAACCCUAUACAUGCCAUAUAAACCAUAUUGAAUGUUUCAAAAACUUCUGGAAUAAGCUAGAUAGUGUGACUUGAGUGUUGAUCUGAUUUCUCAACCUUCCAAUAAUCUACAAAGACAUUAAACAACACACAUAAGCUUAAUGAAGCUUAGUAAGUUUGAUGGGUUAAACAUAAAUCUUACCGAACCUACUAUAACAAACCAAAUAAAUAAAUUCAUUCAUGUUAACUCCCUGUCAGUCACAACUUCAGUCAAUGAAUACACUUGUUUCAGA